This 69-nucleotide transfer RNA is filed under the name Ptilometra sp. DH-R. RNAcentral's name for it is "tRNA-Arg". It matches the Rfam family "tRNA". From Rfam's summary of the family: Transfer RNA (tRNA) molecules are approximately 80 nucleotides in length. Their secondary structure includes four short double-helical elements and three loops (D, anti-codon, and T loops). Further hydrogen bonds mediate the characteristic L-shaped molecular structure. tRNAs have two regions of fundamental functional importance: the anti-codon, which is responsible for specific mRNA codon recognition, and the 3' end, to which the tRNAs corresponding amino acid is attached (by aminoacyl-tRNA synthetases). tRNAs cope with the degeneracy of the genetic code in two manners: having more than one tRNA (with a specific anti-codon) for a particular amino acid; and 'wobble' base-pairing, i.e. permitting non-standard base-pairing at the 3rd anti-codon position. Lineage: Eukaryota; Metazoa; Echinodermata; Crinoidea; Comatulida; Ptilometridae. The record is from RNAcentral.
AAAAGAGUAGUUUAAGAAAAAUUUUCGGUUUCGGCCUGUUUGUUUUUGGUUAGAGUCCAAACUCUUUUU